UCGUCAGAGGUGAAAUUCUUGGAUUGCCGGAAGACGAACUAUUGCGAAAGCAUUUGCCAAGGAUGUUUUCAUUGAUCAAGAACGAAGGAAGGGGGAUCGAAAACGAUCAGAUACCGUUGUAGUCUCUUCUGUAAACUAUGCCAAUUGGGGAUUAGCUCAGGAUUUUUAAUGACUGAGUUAGCACCCGAAGAGAAAUCUUUAAAUGAGGUUCGGGGGGGAGUAUGGUCGCAAGGCUGAAACUUAAAGGAAUUGACGGAAGGGCACCACCAGGUGUGGAGCCUGCGGCUUAAUUUGACUCAACACGGGGAAACUCACCAGGUCCAGACACAAUAAGGAUUGACAGAUUGAUAGCUCUUUCUUGAUCUUGUGGUUGGUGGUGCAUGGCCGUUCUUAGUUGGUGGAGUGAUUUGUCUGGUUAAUUCCGAUAACGAACGAGACCUUAACCUGCUAAAUAGACCAGCCGGCUUUGGCUGGCUGCUGUCUUCUUAGAGGGACUAUCAGCGUUUAGCUGAUGGAAGUUUGAGGCAAUAACAGGUCUGUGAUGCCCUUAGAUGUUCUGGGCCGCACGCGCGCUACACUGACAGAGCCAGCGAGUCUACCACCUUGGCCGGAAGGCCUGGGUAAUCUUGUGAAACUCUGUCGUGAUGGGGAUAGAACAUUGCAAUUAUUGUUCUUCAACGAGGAAUACCUAGUAAGCGUGAGUCAUCAGCUCGCGUUGAUUACGUCCCUGCCCUUUGUACACACCGCCCGUCGCUACUACCGAUUGAAUGGCUUAGUGAGGCCUCCAGAUUGGCUAUUGGGAUCUCGCGAGAGAACCUGACUGCUGAAAAGUUGUACGAACU
RNAcentral lists this ribosomal RNA (842 nucleotides) under Leucosporidium sp. RNAcentral describes it as "SSU rRNA". It matches the Rfam family "Eukaryotic small subunit ribosomal RNA", at positions 902 to 1765 of the family's 1831-position model. Lineage: Eukaryota; Fungi; Basidiomycota; Microbotryomycetes; Leucosporidiales; Leucosporidiaceae. The record is from RNAcentral.